RNAcentral lists this ribosomal RNA (587 nucleotides) under uncultured bacterium. RNAcentral describes it as "bacterial SSU rRNA". It matches the Rfam family "Bacterial small subunit ribosomal RNA", at positions 336 to 917 of the family's 1533-position model. The record is from RNAcentral.
UUCCUACGGGAGGCAGCAGUGGGGAAUUUUGGACAAUGGGGGCAACCCUGAUCCAGCAAUGCCGCGUGAGUGAAGAAGGCCUUCGGGUUGUAAAGCUCUUUUGUCAGGGAAGAAACAGCAGCUCUAACACAGUCUGCGAAUGACGGUACCUGAAGAAUAAGCACCGGCUAACUACGUGCCAGCAGCCGCGGUAAUACGUAGGGUGCGAGCGUUAAUCGGAAUUACUGGGCGUAAAGCGUGCGCAGGCGGUUAUACAAGACAGGCGUGAAAUCCCCGGGCUUAACCUGGGAAUGGCGUCUGUGACUGUAUAGCUAGAGUGUGUCAGAGGGGGGUGGAAUUCCACGUGUAGCAGUGAAAUGCGUAGAUAUGUGGAGGAACACCAAUGGCGAAGGCAGCCCCCUGGGAUAACACUGACGCUCAUGCACGAAAGCGUGGGGAGCAAACAGGAUUAGAUACCCUGGUAGUCCACGCCCUAAACGAUGCUGACUAGUUGUUGGGAAUUUACAUUCUCAGUAACGUAGCUAACGCGUGAAGUCAGCCGCCUGGGGAGUACGGUCGCAAGAUUAAAACUCAAAGGAAUUGACGGA